RNAcentral lists this small RNA (693 nucleotides) under Arabidopsis thaliana (thale cress). RNAcentral's name for it is "ATSL169730". The record is from RNAcentral. Lineage: Eukaryota; Viridiplantae; Streptophyta; Magnoliopsida; Brassicales; Brassicaceae.
GGGGGGCUUAUUGUUGGACAUGAGCUUCACCCUCAACAUAUCAUUUGGCCCAAACAGAGACUUAAGUGUUUAAUGGGCUUGUUGUCUCCAACAAUUUAGCCUAUUAAACGCAAGGGGCAAAACGGUAAUUUACAGGAGGAGCAGAAGAAUCUUUAGGUUAAGAGGCUUGUCCUAUAAAUAAUGCACUAUUGGCGAAAUAGUGACACAGAAGAUAAUACCCAGAGAAUCAGAGCAAUAUUCGGACUAAAACUCUUUGUCUUUCGGUUCGUUUUUGUUCUCGGUUCGUUUUGUCUUCGGUUCGUUUUGUUCUCAGUUCGUUUUGUUCUCGGUUCGUUUUAGUUCACGGUUCGUUUUUUUCUCAAUUCAAGUCGUGUUACGUUGCCGAUCGAUAGAAAUCACUUGUAACUAUUCAACCGGCCUGUUGUUUACCCUUCUCGUUCGUCAGCUAAUAAAAGAUACUUCGUCUUCCCGAAAAUCCCUUACUUAUUCAUUGUUACAACCUCGGUACAAACAGCGUGCCACUAGUUAUUCAAAGUGCUACUGUAAAUGUGAUAUACCAAAAAUACUCUUAAUGAAAUUACUUACGAUUGGUACAACUAAGAGAUGAUAGUACAACUGGUUCAAACGAUAGAUUAUGGGACAAGUGGAACAAAUGGUAUUACAGUAUUACUAAACGAUAAUAGUACAACUGAU